This 2917-nucleotide ribosomal RNA is filed under the name Pseudomonas cannabina. RNAcentral's name for it is "23S ribosomal RNA". It matches the Rfam family "Bacterial large subunit ribosomal RNA". The record is from RNAcentral. Lineage: Bacteria; Pseudomonadati; Pseudomonadota; Gammaproteobacteria; Pseudomonadales; Pseudomonadaceae.
GUUAUAUGGUCAAGUGAAGAAGCGCAUACGGUGGAUGCCUUGGCAGUCAGAGGCGAUGAAAGACGUGGUAGCCUGCGAAAAGCUUCGGGGAGUCGGCAAACAGACUGUGAUCCGGAGAUGUCUGAAUGGGGGAACCCAGCCAUCACAAGAUGGUUAUCUUACGCUGAAUACAUAGGCGUAAGAGGCGAACCAGGGGAACUGAAACAUCUAAGUACCCUGAGGAAAAGAAAUCAACCGAGAUUCCCUUAGUAGUGGCGAGCGAACGGGGAGCAGCCCUUAAGUUGUAUUGAGAUUAGCGGAACGCUCUGGAAAGUGCGGCCAUAGUGGGUGAUAGCCCUGUACGCGAAAAUCCCUUUGCAAUGAAAUCGAGUAGGACGGGGCACGAGAAACCUUGUCUGAAUAUGGGGGGACCAUCCUCCAAGGCUAAAUACUACUGACUGACCGAUAGUGAACCAGUACCGUGAGGGAAAGGCGAAAAGAACCGCGGAGAGCGGAGUGAAAUAGAUCCUGAAACCGUAUGCGUACAAGCAGUGGGAGCCCACGUUGUUGGGUGACUGCGUACCUUUUGUAUAAUGGGUCAGCGACUUAUUUUCAGUGGCGAGCUUAACCGAAUAGGGGAGGCGUAGCGAAAGCGAGUCUUAAUAGGGCGUCUAGUCGCUGGGAAUAGACCCGAAACCGGGCGAUCUAUCCAUGGGCAGGUUGAAGGUUGGGUAACACUAACUGGAGGACCGAACCGACUACCGUUGAAAAGUUAGCGGAUGACCUGUGGAUCGGAGUGAAAGGCUAAUCAAGCUCGGAGAUAGCUGGUUCUCCUCGAAAGCUAUUUAGGUAGCGCCUCAUGUAUCACUGUAGGGGGUAGAGCACUGUUUCGGCUAGGGGGUCAUCCCGACUUACCAAACCGAUGCAAACUCCGAAUACCUACAAGUGCCGAGCAUGGGAGACACACGGCGGGUGCUAACGUCCGUCGUGAAAAGGGAAACAACCCAGACCGUCAGCUAAGGUCCCAAAGUCAUGGUUAAGUGGGAAACGAUGUGGGAAGGCUUAGACAGCUAGGAGGUUGGCUUAGAAGCAGCCACCCUUUAAAGAAAGCGUAAUAGCUCACUAGUCGAGUCGGCCUGCGCGGAAGAUGUAACGGGGCUCAAACCAUGCACCGAAGCUACGGGUAUCACCUUUGGUGAUGCGGUAGAGGAGCGUUCUGUAAGCCUGUGAAGGUGAGUUGAGAAGCUUGCUGGAGGUAUCAGAAGUGCGAAUGCUGACAUGAGUAACGACAAUGGGUGUGAAAAACACCCACGCCGAAAGACCAAGGUUUCCUGCGCAACGUUAAUCGACGCAGGGUUAGUCGGUCCCUAAGGCGAGGCUGAAAAGCGUAGUCGAUGGAAAACAGGUUAAUAUUCCUGUACUUCUGGUUAUUGCGAUGGAGGGACGGAGAAGGCUAGGCCAGCCUGGCGUUGGUAGUCCAGGUUUAAGGUGGUAGGCUGAGAUCUUAGGUAAAUCCGGGAUCUCAAGGCCGAGAGCUGAUGACGAGUGUUCUUUUAGAACACGAAGUGGUUGAUGCCAUGCUUCCAAGAAAAGCUUCUAAGCUUCAGGUAACCAGGAACCGUACCCCAAACCGACACAGGUGGUUGGGUAGAGAAUACCAAGGCGCUUGAGAGAACUCGGGUGAAGGAACUAGGCAAAAUGGCACCGUAACUUCGGGAGAAGGUGCGCCGGUGAGGGUGAAGCAUUUACUGCGUAAGCUCAUGCCGGUCGAAGAUACCAGGCCGCUGCGACUGUUUAUUAAAAACACAGCACUCUGCAAACACGAAAGUGGACGUAUAGGGUGUGACGCCUGCCCGGUGCCGGAAGGUUAAUUGAUGGGGUUAGCGCAAGCGAAGCUCUUGAUCGAAGCCCCGGUAAACGGCGGCCGUAACUAUAACGGUCCUAAGGUAGCGAAAUUCCUUGUCGGGUAAGUUCCGACCUGCACGAAUGGCGUAACGAUGGCGGCGCUGUCUCCACCCGAGACUCAGUGAAAUUGAAAUCGCUGUGAAGAUGCAGUGUAUCCGCGGCUAGACGGAAAGACCCCGUGAACCUUUACUAUAGCUUUGCACUGGACUUUGAAUUUGCUUGUGUAGGAUAGGUGGGAGGCUUUGAAGCGUGGACGCCAGUCUGCGUGGAGCCAACCUUGAAAUACCACCCUGGCAACUUUGAGGUUCUAACUCAGGUCCGUUAUCCGGAUCGAGGACAGUGUAUGGUGGGUAGUUUGACUGGGGCGGUCUCCUCCUAAAGAGUAACGGAGGAGUACGAAGGUGCGCUCAGACCGGUCGGAAAUCGGUCGUAGAGUAUAAAGGCAAAAGCGCGCUUGACUGCGAGACAGACACGUCGAGCAGGUACGAAAGUAGGUCUUAGUGAUCCGGUGGUUCUGUAUGGAAGGGCCAUCGCUCAACGGAUAAAAGGUACUCCGGGGAUAACAGGCUGAUACCGCCCAAGAGUUCAUAUCGACGGCGGUGUUUGGCACCUCGAUGUCGGCUCAUCACAUCCUGGGGCUGAAGCCGGUCCCAAGGGUAUGGCUGUUCGCCAUUUAAAGUGGUACGCGAGCUGGGUUUAGAACGUCGUGAGACAGUUCGGUCCCUAUCUGCCGUGGACGUUUGAGAUUUGAGAGGGGCUGCUCCUAGUACGAGAGGACCGGAGUGGACGAACCUCUGGUGUUCCGGUUGUCACGCCAGUGGCAUUGCCGGGUAGCUAUGUUCGGAAAAGAUAACCGCUGAAAGCAUCUAAGCGGGAAACUUGCCUCAAGAUGAGAUCUCACUGGAACCUUGAGUUCCCUGAAGGGCCGUCGAAGACUACGACGUUGAUAGGUUGGGUGUGUAAGCGCUGUGAGGCGUUGAGCUAACCAAUACUAAUUGCCCGUGAGGCUUGACCAUAUAACACCCAAGCAAUU